Loxodonta africana (African savanna elephant) is the source of this 1456-nucleotide long non-coding RNA. RefSeq lists it as uncharacterized. The transcript has 5 exons. The record is from RefSeq and is a predicted model, not a curated record. Lineage: Eukaryota; Metazoa; Chordata; Mammalia; Proboscidea; Elephantidae.
UUCCCUGGGUCUAUUUGUCCAGUUUUCCUGUCCCUUUCUGCCUUCUUGUCUUUGCUUUCGGGCAGGCGUUGCGUGUUUGGUUUGGCACACUUGAUGUUCCUCAGGCGUGUUAUUGUUUGUUUUCAAGGCCUAUCUAAUCUUUGGCUGAAAGGUGGACUUUGGGAGUGGCUUUAGGUGUGAGUUAGCAGGGUACCCAGGGACCAUAGUCUCAGGGGUUCCUCCAGUCUUUGACAGUCAAUACGUAUUUUUUUUUUUGCGGGGGGAGCAAGUUCAAUCCAUAACAGGGAGGUAAUGGAAUCCCCAUUUUACAAAUGAGGAAACUGAGGCUCAGAUCAUUUAAGUUGUCCAGUUGAUCAGUUGUAGGGCAGGAGUUAGAAGUCUAAUUGGUCUGGCUCCACAGCCCAUGUUCUUUCCUUGUUAAGAUUCUUUGGGGACACAGACCUGUGGUUGUAGAGUCAAUUCCGAAUCACAGCAACCCCAUGUGUUACAGAGUAGAACUGCUCCAUAGGGUUUUCUUGGCUCUAAUCUUUACAGAAGCAGCCCUGGUGGUGCAGCCGUUAAGCACUCGGUUGUUAACUGAAAGGUCAGUGGUUCAAACCUAUAAGCUUGCUGAAAAAGUUGUGGCAGCCUGCUUCCGUAAAUAUUACAGUCUCGGAAACGCUAUGGGGCAGUUCUACUCUGUCCUGUCGGGUCGCUAUGAGUCAGAAUUGAGUCAACGCCAAUGGGUUUGUUUUUUUUUAAUCUUUAAGGAAGCAGAUCAUUAGGCUUCUCUUCUGAGUCACUGCUGAGUGGGUUCCAACAGCCAGCCUUUGGUUAGUAGCCAAGCACAGACUAUCUGCACUGCCCGGGGACCUUACAGAGGGACUACCCGAGAGCAUUUCCUGAUUGGCCAGGGCUGAAGGAGUCCUGGUUCAUUCAUCCUAGACUCCCUCACCGAAACGCGGACACUGCAGGAAAGAAGCAUCCAGGCCCGGUGUGCGGGGGUUCAGGUGAUGCCUGGCUCCUCUCCACUCGCUUUCUGGCAUGGACACUCAGUGCCAGAUAAGAAAACCAAGGACACUCAUCUUCAGAGUUUAGGUAACUACUCAAGGUCACAUGGUUGAUUUCCCUCAUGGAUCACGUGCUCCACCCCAGGAUGGUCCCACAGAGCUGCCUACACCCAGCUGGCUCCCACUUUGUGCUUCCCUUUCAUGACUGUAUGAGUGCAGCAGACCAUGUGCCUGGACUAUGUGUAACGCAUUGCUUUGGUCGCAAAGAAGACCCACACAUGAUCUAUGCCUCCUGGGAUUUCCAAUUGGAUGCAGAGGACAAGGAGAUAUACAAUUCCAUCUAAGCGCACAGGUCCGGACAAUCUGUACCUGGACAGAAGGUCUGCUUCUCUUUCAUUCUUCAGGACAGUCAGAUGAUGUGCUUUUGUUUGCUAGUAAUAGAACAUUGAAUAAAAGUGGAUUAGCAA